Molecule: ribosomal RNA, 252 nt
Filed under: uncultured bacterium
Lineage: Bacteria
Description: partial 16S ribosomal RNA
Rfam family: Bacterial small subunit ribosomal RNA
Source: RNAcentral
UACGGGGGGGCAAGCGUUGUUCGGAAUUACUGGGCGUAAAGGGCGCGUAGGCGGCUCGUUAAGUCGGGUGUGAAAACUCUGGGCUCAACCCAGAGCCUGCAUUCGAAACUGACGAGCUAGAGUUCUGGAGGGGAAAGCGGAAUUCCUGGUGUAGCGGUGAAAUGCGUAGAUAUCAGGAGGAACACCGGUGGCGAAGGCGGCUUUCUGGACAGAAACUGACGCUGAGGCGCGAAAGCUAGGGGAGCAAACAGG